CAACUAAUCUAUCCUAUACUAAAAGGGAUAUAUGAGGAGUAGAGAGGCUGUCCACGUCAGAUUAAAAAAUCGGCCAAUAGGAUUGCUUUAAAUCGCCAUGUCAGCUUAUGACUAUUCCUCUUCCUCUUCACCGAUCAAUUCCUCCGCUGUUACUGUAAUUCACCCUUCGUGAAUCUGUAAUGCUCUUAAAUCCUCUUUUAAUGGUUUCAUUCCAGGUUCCCCUCUUUCUCCUUUUAUACAAAGCCCUAAUCUGAUGUUUAAUCCAAACCCUUAUUCAAAAAAAUGGAUUCUACCUCCGCCGCAUAAACGCUAUCCACUCCCAUCUCGUCACGUCUUCUCGCUUUUCCCCUCUCCUCCUCAGCUCCAAUCCCACCGCCGGCGACUCUGUCUCGAUAAUGGAUAUAACGUUGUGCUUCCCGAGAAGCUGAGCACUGGCAAGUGAAACGUCUACAGGUUAUAUAUCAACGAUCAUUUUCCUCCUACAGGUUAUAUAUCACCGAGGCAAGAGCAAAUCAUAAGCUGCAUAUGGUAUUUGGUCGUAUUUGUUUCCUUCAUCAUUUGUUUUCGUUUAAGUGAAUUAUAUAGCUUGAUCAAUAGCAAAUAUUGUGUCUUUCUGUUCUUUAUAUUUGGUAUGAAAUUGCUUUUGUCCUUUUGUAAGGUCUCUGGUUGUUACCUUCUUUUCGUUUCAAGUACUUCCCUUUAUAAGAAAUCUUUUGUUUGCUCUAUAAAUCUCUCCUAAACCAUUAAAUUGCAUCCUUUAUUUUAUUCUGCAGAUGGUACUCCGAGAAGACUGUGUUGCUGAGUUAAACAAUUACAUAGACCCUCUCUACCGGAGAAUUUAGAUGGAAAACUUCUGAGUCGCAUUUUGGAGGUUGAUGGUAAGCUGAAUCCAUGAAAGUGCAAUACUGAAUCAGGCAUGGUCUUAAGAAAGCUGCUUAGCAGAGCAUACUUGAUGAUUUAAACAAGCAUGACCCAGGGUUCACACAGCCUUCUGUUUCAGGGGCAACGCCACAAGUGGUUCCAACCAACCUGCACUGCCGCUGGUAAUCACUAAUCCGGAAUGUAUCGAUUUUGUCCUUAUUAGAGGUCUUCUUCCAAAAUCACGUUUUAGGUUCAAGUUUGGUACCAUGCAAGCUGUUACUGGUCAGUAGGAAGACUUUGGACGCUAUAAUGUUGUUGAAGAGCUCGAGAUUCUGAAACGGUCGACCAUGAAUCCUUUGGUGUUGGGUGCCACAUCUGGCAGUGAUCUACUAUAUAACGCAGUACAGUGGUGUUAGGAAACUGGAGACUGUUACAGUGGCGGAGGUGAAUGCCUACGUUCUGAACUCACCCCUAAGAAGAUUUACUGAUCUAAAGGGGUCAGCCGGUCAGGAAAACCAACAAGAAAGGCCUGAAGAGCUUAGUUUUCUUCAUGAAGCACUGUCAUGAAACCACUCUAUCGUAACUCCCAGUGCUUAAUAUUAUUUCUAUAAAUUUUAUGCUAUGCAAAUAAGGGAUUGGGCACUUAGGCGUCUUUGUCUCACUUCUGAUUUUCAUACACCCUGAAUUUUUUGGCUUUUUAAAAUAUGAAUUACUUCUUAGUUUCCACAUAAAUCAAAUGUUCAGCCUUUGUUAUU
This is a long non-coding RNA of Brassica napus (rape), 1616 nucleotides long. RefSeq lists it as uncharacterized. NCBI's taxonomy places the organism in Eukaryota, Viridiplantae, Streptophyta, Magnoliopsida, Brassicales, Brassicaceae. The transcript is spliced from 7 exons. The record is from RefSeq and is a predicted model, not a curated record.